GACGAACGCUGGCGGCGUGCUUAACACAUGCAAGUCGAACGGAAAGGCCCUGCUUGCAGGGUACUCGAGUGGCGAACGGGUGAGUAACACGUGGGUGAUCUGCCCUGCACUUCGGGAUAAGCUUGGGAAACUGGGUCUAAUACCGGAUAGGAGCCAUCUUUAGUGUGGUGGUUGGAAAGUUUUUUCGGUGUAGGAUGAGCUCGCGGCCUAUCAGCUUGUUGGUGGGGUAAUGGCCUACCAAGGCGGCGACGGGUAGCCGGCCUGAGAGGGUGUACGGCCACAUUGGGACUGAGAUACGGCCCAGACUCCGACGGGAGGCAGCAGUGGGGAAGAUUGCACAAUGGGCGCAAGCCUGAUGCAGCGACGCCGCGUGGGGGAUGAAGGCCUUCGGGUUGUAAACUCCUUUCGCUAGGGACGAAGCUUUGUUGUGACGGUACCUAGAUAAGAAGCACCGGCUAACUACGUG
This 466-nucleotide ribosomal RNA is filed under the name uncultured bacterium. RNAcentral's name for it is "partial 16S ribosomal RNA". It matches the Rfam family "Bacterial small subunit ribosomal RNA", at positions 28 to 507 of the family's 1533-position model. The record is from RNAcentral.